Molecule: ribosomal RNA, 484 nt
Filed under: uncultured bacterium
Lineage: Bacteria
Description: partial 16S ribosomal RNA
Rfam family: Bacterial small subunit ribosomal RNA
Source: RNAcentral
AUUGAACGCUGGCGGCAUGCUUUACACAUGCAAGUCGAACGGCAGCGCGGGCUUCGGCCUGGCGGCGAGUGGCGAACGGGUGAGUAAUACAUCGGAACGUGCCCAGUAGUGGGGGAUAGCUCUGCGAAAGCCGGAUUAAUACCGCAUACGACCUGAGGGUGAAAGCGGGGGAUCUUCGGACCUCGCGCUAUUGGAGCGGCCGAUGGCAGAUUAGCUAGUUGGUGGGGUAAAGGCCUACCAAGGCGACGAUCUGUAGCUGGUCUGAGAGGACGACCAGCCACACUGGGACUGAGACACGGCCCAGACUCCUACGGGAGGCAGCAGUGGGGAAUUUUGGACAAUGGGCGAAAGCCUGAUCCAGCAAUGCCGCGUGUGUGAUGAAGGCCUUCGGGUUGUAAAGCACUUUUGGCGGGAACGAAAAGGACUGUGCCAAUACCACGGUUCGAUGACGGUACCCGCAGAAUAAGCACCGGCUAACUACGUG